This 460-nucleotide ribosomal RNA is filed under the name uncultured bacterium. RNAcentral describes it as "partial 16S ribosomal RNA". It matches the Rfam family "Bacterial small subunit ribosomal RNA", at positions 338 to 795 of the family's 1533-position model. The record is from RNAcentral.
CCUACGGUAGGCAGCAGUGAGGAAUAUUGGUCAAUGGACGAGAGUCUGAACCAGCCAAGUAGCAUGAAGGAUGACUGCCCUAUGGGUUGUAAACUUCUUUUAUAUGGGAAUAACAUGUUCCACGUGUGGGAUUUUGUAUGUACCAUAUGAAUACGGAUCGGCUAACUCCGUGCCAGCAGCCGCGGUAAUACGGAGGAUCCGCGCGUUAUCCGGAUUUAUUGGGUUUAAAGGGAGCGUAGGUGGAUUGUUAAGUCAGUUGUGAAAGUUUGCGGCUCAACCGGAAAAUUGCAGUUGAAACUGGCAGGCUUGAGUACAGGAGAGGUGGGCGGAAUUCGUGGUGUAGCGGUGAAAUGCUUAGAUAUCACGAAGAACUCCGAUUGCGAAGGCAGUUCACUGGACUGCAACUGACACUGAGGCUCGAAAGUGUGGGUAUCAAACAGGAUUAGAUACCCGAGUAGUC